RNAcentral lists this ribosomal RNA (405 nucleotides) under uncultured bacterium. RNAcentral describes it as "partial 16S ribosomal RNA". It matches the Rfam family "Bacterial small subunit ribosomal RNA", at positions 30 to 526 of the family's 1533-position model. The record is from RNAcentral.
AUUGAACGCUGGCGGCAGGCCUAACACAUGCAAGUCGAACGAGUGGCGGACGGGUGAGUAAUGUCUGGGAAACUGCCUGAUGGAGGGGGAUAACUACGGGAAACGGUAGCUAAUACCGCAUACCAUCAGAUGUGCCCAGAUGGGAUUAGCUUGUUGGUGGGGUAACGGCUCACCAAGGGGACGAUCCCUAGCUGGUCUGAGAGGAUGACCAGCCACACUGGAACUGAGACACUGUCCAGACUCCUACGUGAGACAGCAAUGGGAAAUCUUCCACAAUGGUCGCAAGCCUGAUGCAGCCAUGCCGCGUGUAUGAAGAAUGCCUUCGGGUUGUAAAGUACUUUCAGCGGUGAGGCGUUACCCGCCGAAGAAGCACCGGCUAACUCCGUGCCAGCAGCCGCGUAAUUC